Long non-coding RNA from Anopheles gambiae (African malaria mosquito), 6159 nucleotides. RefSeq lists it as uncharacterized. The transcript has 4 exons. NCBI's taxonomy places the organism in Eukaryota, Metazoa, Arthropoda, Insecta, Diptera, Culicidae. The record is from RefSeq and is a predicted model, not a curated record.
ACAAUGACAAACUUUGGACUUUUAUCAGGAUAAUUAAAAAUAAGCAAAACUCUAUCCCUAUUUUGAAAAAAAAAAGAUAAUCAAAACCUUAUCACGGCUACCGAAAAAUGUGAUGUGUUAAAAAAAGUAUUUGAAUCAGCCCACACUUUAACAACAAAUUAUAAAAGUACUGUUGAUCGUCAAGUAAAGGAAAAAAUAGGAGUUUCCGCAAUGAUAUCGAUCAGAUAACACAAAAUAAUUUUGAAUUAAUUAAACCAAAAGACAUUGCUAUAAUCUUACGACGACUAAAAACAAAAAAAUCUACAGGACACGACCAGGUAAAUAAUAAUGCAAUCAAAAGGUUACCCAGGAAAGCCAUAAUAUAUCUUAACUUUAUAUUUAAUGGUUGUCUGAAACUUGGUUAUUUUCCAAAAACUUGGAAUAUAGCUAAAGUUAUUGCUAUUCCAAAACCGGGUAAAGAUCAUACCCAGACUGCAUAUGACAGCCAAAAGACGUCUUUCGGUAAAACUUUUCGUCUUCCCGUCGGACUGCCGAUAGUCCGACUUUUUAACGCUAUGGUUUGACCGAUUUUGACAGGCCAUAUCUGAUGUCAGAUGUCAUUCGGCAGAUGUCAUUCAAGUGGUGUAUAUUUUUUAUUGACGGUGUAAUGCAAUGUCCAAAAAUUACUGAGUGGCCUACCACAGUGCAAAAAAAAUUGGCGGACUCUUUUUUCUCCCCCUCUUUCCACCGAUCUUUUUUCCCUCACCCUCUUACUUCUUUCUCCUAGGUUGUCCCGGUUGUUCCUCUCGAGCUCAUUUUGUUUACUUCGCUUUUCGCCUUCGCACAGUUCGGCUAUUCUUUGGUUCGGUUCGGUUGUGUUUUCUUCUUCUACUACUCCUCUUCAUCUCAUCUCCGCUGCACACACGCUCCUUUUGUUUGUAAGGCCGGUGUUGGUUUAUUUAGAACUUUUUCUGUGUUAGUGCUUGUGUGCUGAGGCAAUUCCAAUUAUUUAGAACUCCUGCAUGGAACAAGCGUGAGGGAACCUGUUCCUGCGUGUACAGCCGGAGCCACGGUGUCACGAUUAUCUGUUUCAGCUCACAACGUUUUAUAAACGUGAUACUUCCAACAUGGACAGCGCCAAACGACCCAAGCUACUUGUGUCGAUUAAAAAUGGAGCAUACAAAUUGCUCCCGUUAAACAAUAAUAAUUCAAUAAACAACAUCACACCUACCACAAUGCUUCAUCCGCAAUUAUUGAAUGAGCUUUCAUCGUUAUCGUCAGUGUCUAUCCAUACUGGAAGUCAAAACAUGGCUCGCGAGAAUGCUUCAUCGUCAAAACAAACUGUAUCAAGCGAUAAACGCAAGCCGGUUUCUCGUACGAAUAAUGCAAUGGUAGACAAUGUACCGUCCACAUCGAUGGUAGUUCGUUCUUCUUUGGAUCACUUCUCGUUUAUGGAAACAACUGCAUCAACUUCGGGUGCUAGUCAACGAAAACCUAAACGUAUAUUAUUAUAUUAUUUGCUGUAAAAUACUAUAUGAACGUUUAUUUUCAGCCCUUUCAUCUACUGCUUCUAUGGCAACGCAAACGGAUUUUUCUAGUGGACAGAACGUGGGAUUAGAUGCCAUACUAGAUAAAUUGGACACCAUGCAGAGGGAGAAACAAAGACAGGCAGACAUGUAUCAUAAGAAAAUGCUGGAUAUGGAAGCAGCAGAAAUUAGUAAGAGCACAGUUAGAUAUUUUAUCCGACAAAUUGAUUCCACGGCCAGGAUUUGUUGCGGAAUCGUCGUUUGAAUGGGAAACGGUGGGGACCAGGGAAGAACUAGAUCGAACCCUACGGACAAAGAGUGGCUAAUUUUUAUCAUGGUGUGCGUAAAAACCUAGAGUUAAGCCGAUGGAAGAUUUCCUAGGCUUAAAAAAGGGGGCGGGAACGGGUAGCACGGUUCUCUCCCGCUCCCAUACAUAAUACACGGUGCGCUCUCUCAAUGCUCGUGCCCAUGCGCGAGCAUCCUUUCGUGUGCUUGUGUUUGUUUCUUUCGUGUUGCGCUGUGUGCGUUUCUUUCGUAUUUUUUUGUUAUGUAAAGCUAAACAAAAACACAAACACGCGUAGAUCUUUUUUUCAUCACUUUAUUGAAACAUUUACAUUUUAACUUUACACGAUUUCACACAUUUACGUAAGUUGAUACACAAUAUUUGACUAAAAUAAAAUUGAUCGCUCCAUCGAUGCAAACGUUGAAAUGGCCGAAUAUCUGUGUAGAUCCUUUUGUACACGUUGAUUACUGUAAAAAGGUACGAAAUGAAGCUGCGCGAUGUACAUAACAUGCAUUACGAAUCAUUCGCGCAGCUUCAUUUGAAUUCGCACAACACUUGAACACUUGAACACUUUACAAAAUCAUAACAUCAAUCGUCCAGGACUUAGGCUGACGCACGUGCGGCCGCUCGCUGCCGAUCCUUGAGCUGUACUGACGAUUUCGUGUGGUAGCAAGAACGAGAGCACACAGAGGAACUUUCGGUGCAGCAGUGCAAGCGAGACACCGACAUCAGCACAGCGCUGCGAGCAGAUCAAACUGAGCGCACUGGCGGAAAGUAAACGCACACAUGUCCACAUGUGUAACUGUGUUAGUGCCAAAACUGUGUCGAAACCAAAACGCGCUCUCGCCUCCGUGUAUUUCACACCGAUUCUCCGCUUAACUCUAGGUUUUUACACACACCAUGAUAAAAUAUCCCGCUCGUUGUUUGUAGGGAAUGGAGGAAAGAUUGGGGGAAACAGAGUUAAAAAAAAAAAUGGAAUUUUUAGAUACAAAGCUGCCGACCGACAGUUCAGAAGCUAGACUCCAUGAUAGCAUGGACAUUAUAUUCAAAAAGGAUUUUGUAACACACUGGACAGGAUUAGGACCAGAUUAAGUUUGUUUUUCAAAUUAUGAAAGCGUUGUUCAGAUUUUUAAAUUUAUAGGAACAUGUCAUGGAGUUUCACCCACGGACCAAAGAAUCAAAACAUUUUUCCAAAGUUGAUUUGUGUAGGUGUUAAUUUUUUUCUUACACCAACAUACUAAACAUCCAGGCCAUCAGCAUUCUUUUUGUUAUACCUAAAUCUAUCAAAUGCAGAGAAUCUGCCACAAUCAUUUGUAUGAUGAUGUCAAACUCAUAUAAAUCCAAAAGAGGUGAAUCUAGUUUUUGAUGAUCACCGUAAGCUCGGUUUUUGAAACCUUCAUGUGUUCUAUCUGGGCCAGCGGUGUCCGAGUAUGCGUUUCUUCCAUUGAUGUAUUUUCUUUUCGAAGUGCACUUUAAGCAGCCAUCUAACGAGUUGAAAUAAGCAACACCUUUUGAAAAAGAAAAAUUGUUGUUCAAAAUUUGUUACCCUAAUGCUUUUGAAUAUUAUUUUAUUUGAAUAGUUACCUUUUAUAAAAGCUCUUGAAGGAGAAUUGGCGAUAAUAGCACGUAAUUUGAUGUUAAACUUCUUGUUUUUUACAAACACACCAUUUUUUGUGAGAAAAUUAACCUCAUCUACAAAAGGUCGGAGAAAUUGUUCUAUGCUGGCUGGUUUUGUUGCUCCACAAUAUAUUGAAAUUGGCAUGACUGGUAUUUCCGGCAUUCCAUGAAUGUUAAAAAUAGGUUAAAAAUAGGUAAAAAUUGUAGAUUGUUGCUUUUGGCAAUUGGCAAUCCGUCUAUUGACACGUUCAGUAAAAUUGUUUUAUCAGCUUCAAAGUUUACAUCGCUACAAAUUAGAAAACAUAACGAUAUGUAAUACUUAUACAUGAGAAUGAAUUUGUUUACAUCCAGAAAUAUUACCUUAACUCGUUGGUGAAGCAAUUUUGAAUCCCACGAUACCAAUACUGUCCACCUUGCACGGUAAUAAUUUCCGAAGAGCGAUUGCGGUUGAUUUUUAGCAAAGUUCUAGCAUCUUUUAGCAAUUUGCAAGAACUUACUUUACCGAUUAUACCCAUGAUUUGUUCGAUGGAAUCAUAUGUUUGAUUUGUAGACAUCGCCCACGUUUGAAAAGCUUCUUUUACGGAGAAUGGUUCGUUUGAUGUUUCUUGUUCCUCGUCAGAGCUUUCGAGAUAAUCGAUUACAGCCUCUUCUUCCUCAGCGUAUUCAGUAGUUUCAUGAUCAUCUUCAACAUAAUCAUGUUCCACAAGAAAACUGUCGUCUGAGGAUGUAGCACCAACAUCUGGCGUAUGUGCAUUAUCUGUAAAGCAAAAUAAACCAUGUUUAAUAAAAAGUACAAGCAAACUUCAUGAUUUUCAUCAUACCAUUUUCUCUUUCACUGAUAUUAUUUUCUUCUAGCUGGUCUUGCUCCACUAUACGGUUACGGGUACGAAACAAAUAUGAGUUGAGCCGAAUACGCUUCGAGAAUGAUUGGUCCAUCCUAAUUUUGAUAAAAUCAAGGCUAGAAACCACUAGAUUAUCGCAAUAACGCACGCAAUUUAACUCGUUAGAUGUUCUGUAUGUUUAGAUUUUGUUCAUUUGCGCGCGAUUGUGGUGUGACAGCAGCGACAUAAACACAGACACUAUGGACAAGAGAACAACAUCAACAAUAUCAAUAUUGGCCUUGUGUGGUAUAAAACUAAAAAAUCUUUUAUUUUAGUCUGAAUUGUUAUAAUAAUUGUUUGUAAAAUAACUUUAAAUAAUGUUACCGUGUUAUAUUGAAGGCUGGUCUCGUAGUACAGUCGUCAACUCGUACGAUUUAACAACAUGCCCAUCAUGGGUUCAAGCCCCAAAUAGACCGUGCCGCCAUACGUAGGAUUGACUAUCCUGCUAUGGGGGGAAAUCAAAUAGUCACUGAAAGCCAAACCCACAAGAGGUAAAGGCAGGCCUAGACCGAGAACGGUUGUUGAGCCAAAGAAGACGAAGAGAAGUUAUAUUGAAGAAAUGGCUUGAUUUAUCUCACUAUAUAUAAAAUCGAAAAUCGCCACAAUGACGUGAGAGUAAACAUUCAGCGAGAGAGAGAGAGAGAGAAAGCGGUGAGAGCAGAGCUCUCUUAGCAACGCGCGUUGCUGCGAAAGGACUUGCUCCAUGCCACACUGCCAGCCCGCGGGUAAUGAGGGGAAUGGUUACUUAGAUUUUUUGUUUACACAAACCGAUUUGAAAACACAUGGUAUUGGAUAUAAUGAUUUUUUUUAAAUUAAAGUUGCAAAUUAGCCACCUGAUGAUAACGUGUCCCAUCUCAUACCCCUUCUCAUUAUAAAUCAAGAUAUUCAAGGCAAUAUUUAAAAAAAAAUUUUGAAAACUGUGUAACAUAGCUUAUUUGUGACAUGGCUGAUAUUCCAAUUCAUUCAAUCAUUAAUAAAGCCAACCAUACUCAUUAUUGGUGCUUAAGCACCUCGCAUACUACAUACACCGUCGUCAUCGGCAGAUAAGUGUGCUACAGAAUAUCCUGUAAAACGGGUUGCUAUACCCAGGACGUCGAGCAUGUUCACUCCCUCAAAUCUUUUUCUAUUUGGCGUAACGUCCUGUGCGGACAUGCCGCCCUGUAUAGGUUUUCGAGACUUAAUUCAUUAACACGUAGCCGGAUAAUCAAUCCUUGCUACGGGGGGACGGUCCAUGGGCUUGAACCCAUGACGGGCAUGUUAUUGAGUCGUUCGAGUCGACGACCACGUACCACGGGACCGCCCCAAAUCUACUACUCCCUCAAAUCUACUACUCCGCAAUAUUGGAGUCGGGACAAGGAAAACGCAUGACAAUAAGCGGCAGAUGUAGCCGAGAGACCCUAAGCGGCCAUAUACUAAAAAGCCUUGCUGAAAUUCCGAGCAAGAAAGCGGCGGAUGUUGGUGGCUUGAAAGUUAAAAUUGAAUUUGUAACGAUUUGCUCGCGGGUGGGAAGAACUACUUAUUUCAGGAUGUCCUUCCGGAACAAGGCACUAAAGGGAGAGAUGGUUCAUUGCCCAACAUGGCUGCAACAUACUGCGCGUUAGGUGAGACAACCGUGCGCACUGCAUUUAGCCGGAUUAGCAUCAACUGCAGAAUGAUUGACAAUGAAACUAUGCUCAAUGUAACGUGCCCAAGAAGGCUGCAAAGAUUCUGACUGUAUCUAUCAAGAGUGAUGGCGAUAUCUACCAUGUGAUGCUAUAACCGUACUAUGAUGUUGAUUAAGAACAACCACGUUAUAAUCAAGGACACGUCAAAUUAGAAGCAAAAUCUGAAAAAUGUGGGUCGUCAAGAGUAAAUAAAGUAGUUUGCAAGUAAA